ACAGAGCAAGACUCCGUCUCAAAAAAAAAAAAAGAACACCUCUUUCCCUUCCUGCGCCCGAGAGAGCUGGCCCUUCCUGCCCAGGGAGUGGCCAUGGGGCCAGGGCAGCCCUUCCCUUCCCUCCUGCCCAGGCCCGGAGCUCAGGAGCCGUCUGUGUGGUCCACUCCUUCCCAGGUGAAUGGCGUCCUGCCCAUCCUGCCCCUGCUCUUUCCAGUCCUCUGGGUUCUGGCAACUGCCUGUGGAGAGGCCCGUGUCCUGGCCCAGAUGAGCAAGGCCUCGCCCAGCUCCCUGCUGGCUAAGUUCUCAGAGGACACUCUCAGCAGCUAUACAGAGGCUGUCUCCUCUCAGGAAAUGCUGCGCUGCAUUUGGGGCCACUUCC
This 379-nucleotide small RNA is filed under the name Pongo abelii (Sumatran orangutan). Its description in RNAcentral is "retained intron". The record is from RNAcentral. Lineage: Eukaryota; Metazoa; Chordata; Mammalia; Primates; Hominidae.